RNAcentral lists this ribosomal RNA (486 nucleotides) under uncultured bacterium. RNAcentral's name for it is "partial 16S ribosomal RNA". It matches the Rfam family "Bacterial small subunit ribosomal RNA", at positions 899 to 1397 of the family's 1533-position model. The record is from RNAcentral.
ACUCAAAGGAAUUGACGGGGGCCCGCACAAGCAGCGGAGCGUGUGGUUUAAUUCGAUGAUACACGAAGAACCUUACCAGGGUUUGACAUGCAAGUAGUAGUGAAGCGAAAGCGGAACGACCCUUCGGGGAGCUUGCACAGGUGCUGCAUGGCUGUCGUCAGCUCGUGCCGUGAGGUGUUAGGUUAAGUCCUAGAACGAGCGCAGCCCCUAUUGCCAGUUACAAGUGUCUGGCGAGACUGCCGGUCAUAAGCCGGAGGAAGGUGGGGAUGACGUCAAGUCAGCAUGGCCUUUAUAUCCUGGGCUACACACACGCUACAAUGGCUGGUACAAUGGGUAGCUAAACCGCGAGGUGGAGCCAAUCCCACAAAACCAGCCUCAGUUCGGAUUGUAGGCUGCAACCCGCCUACAUGAAGUUGGAGUUGCUAGUAAACGCGCGUCAGCUAUAGUGCGUUGAAUACGUUCCCGGGCCUUGUACACACCGCCCGU